This 2903-nucleotide ribosomal RNA is filed under the name Escherichia coli. Its description in RNAcentral is "23S ribosomal RNA". It matches the Rfam family "Bacterial large subunit ribosomal RNA". Lineage: Bacteria; Pseudomonadati; Pseudomonadota; Gammaproteobacteria; Enterobacterales; Enterobacteriaceae. The record is from RNAcentral.
UUAAGCGACUAAGCGUACACGGUGGAUGCCCUGGCAGUCAGAGGCGAUGAAGGACGUGCUAAUCUGCGAUAAGCGUCGGUAAGGUGAUAUGAACCGUUAUAACCGGCGAUUUCCGAAUGGGGAAACCCAGUGUGAUUCGUCACACUAUCAUUAACUGAAUCCAUAGGUUAAUGAGGCGAACCGGGGGAACUGAAACAUCUAAGUACCCCGAGGAAAAGAAAUCAACCGAGAUUCCCCCAGUAGCGGCGAGCGAACGGGGAGCAGCCCAGAGCCUGAAUCAGUGUGUGUGUUAGUGGAAGCGUCUGGAAAGGCGCGCGAUACAGGGUGACAGCCCCGUACACAAAAAUGCACAUACUGUGAGCUCGAUGAGUAGGGCGGGACACGUGGUAUCCUGUCUGAAUAUGGGGGGACCAUCCUCCAAGGCUAAAUACUCCUGACUGACCGAUAGUGAACCAGUACCGUGAGGGAAAGGCGAAAAGAACCCCGGCGAGGGGAGUGAAAAAGAACCUGAAACCGUGUACGUACAAGCAGUGGGAGCACAGAGCAAUCUGUGUGACUGCGUACCUUUUGUAUAAUGGGUCAGCGACUUAUAUUCUGUAGCAAGGUUAACCGAAUAGGGGAGCCGAAGGGAAACCGAGUCUUAACUGGGCGUUAAGUUGCAGGGUAUAGACCCGAAACCCGGUGAUCUAGCCAUGGGCAGGUUGAAGGUUGGGUAACACUAACUGGAGGACCGAACCGACUAAUGUUGAAAAAUUAGCGGAUGACUUGUGGCUGGGGGUGAAAGGCCAAUCAAACCGGGAGAUAGCUGGUUCUCCCCGAAAGCUAUUUAGGUAGCGCCUCGUGAAUUCAUCUCCGGGGGUAGAGCACUGUUUCGGCAAGGGGGUCAUCCCGACUUACCAACCCGAUGCAAACUGCGAAUACCGGAGAAUGUUAUCACGGGAGACACACGGCGGGUGCUAACGUCCGUCGUGAAGAGGGAAACAACCCAGACCGCCAGCUAAGGUCCCAAAGUCAUGGUUAAGUGGGAAACGAUGUGGGAAGGCCCAGACAGCCAGGAUGUUGGCUUAGAAGCAGCCAUCAUUUAAAGAAAGCGUAAUAGCUCACUGGUCGAGUCGGCCUGCGCGGAAGAUGUAACGGGGCUAAACCAUGCACCGAAGCUGCGGCAGCGACGCUUAUGCGUUGUUGGGUAGGGGAGCGUUCUGUAAGCCUGUGAAGGUGUGCUGUGAGGCAUGCUGGAGGUAUCAGAAGUGCGAAUGCUGACAUAAGUAACGAUAAAGCGGGUGAAAAGCCCGCUCGCCGGAAGACCAAGGGUUCCUGUCCAACGUUAAUCGGGGCAGGGUGAGUCGACCCCUAAGGCGAGGCCGAAAGGCGUAGUCGAUGGGAAACAGGUUAAUAUUCCUGUACUUGGUGUUACUGCGAAGGGGGGACGGAGAAGGCUAUGUUGGCCGGGCGACGGUUGUCCCGGUUUAAGCGUGUAGGCUGGUUUUCCAGGCAAAUCCGGAAAAUCAAGGCUGAGGCGUGAUGACGAGGCACUACGGUGCUGAAGCAACAAAUGCCCUGCUUCCAGGAAAAGCCUCUAAGCAUCAGGUAACAUCAAAUCGUACCCCAAACCGACACAGGUGGUCAGGUAGAGAAUACCAAGGCGCUUGAGAGAACUCGGGUGAAGGAACUAGGCAAAAUGGUGCCGUAACUUCGGGAGAAGGCACGCUGAUAUGUAGGUGAAGCGACUUGCUCGUGGAGCUGAAAUCAGUCGAAGAUACCAGCUGGCUGCAACUGUUUAUUAAAAACACAGCACUGUGCAAACACGAAAGUGGACGUAUACGGUGUGACGCCUGCCCGGUGCCGGAAGGUUAAUUGAUGGGGUCAGCGCAAGCGAAGCUCUUGAUCGAAGCCCCGGUAAACGGCGGCCGUAACUAUAACGGUCCUAAGGUAGCGAAAUUCCUUGUCGGGUAAGUUCCGACCUGCACGAAUGGCGUAAUGAUGGCCAGGCUGUCUCCACCCGAGACUCAGUGAAAUUGAACUCGCUGUGAAGAUGCAGUGUACCCGCGGCAAGACGGAAAGACCCCGUGAACCUUUACUAUAGCUUGACACUGAACAUUGAGCCUUGAUGUGUAGGAUAGGUGGGAGGCUUUGAAGUGUGGACGCCAGUCUGCAUGGAGCCGACCUUGAAAUACCACCCUUUAAUGUUUGAUGUUCUAACGUGGACCCGUAAUCCGGGUUGCGGACAGUGUCUGGUGGGUAGUUUGACUGGGGCGGUCUCCUCCUAAAGAGUAACGGAGGAGCACGAAGGUUGGCUAAUCCUGGUCGGACAUCAGGAGGUUAGUGCAAUGGCAUAAGCCAGCUUGACUGCGAGCGUGACGGCGCGAGCAGGUGCGAAAGCAGGUCAUAGUGAUCCGGUGGUUCUGAAUGGAAGGGCCAUCGCUCAACGGAUAAAAGGUACUCCGGGGAUAACAGGCUGAUACCGCCCAAGAGUUCAUAUCGACGGCGGUGUUUGGCACCUCGAUGUCGGCUCAUCACAUCCUGGGGCUGAAGUAGGUCCCAAGGGUAUGGCUGUUCGCCAUUUAAAGUGGUACGCGAGCUGGGUUUAGAACGUCGUGAGACAGUUCGGUCCCUAUCUGCCGUGGGCGCUGGAGAAUUGAGGGGGGCUGCUCCUAGUACGAGAGGACCGGAGUGGACGCAUCACUGGUGUUCGGGUUGUCAUGCCAAUGGCACUGCCCGGUAGCUAAAUGCGGAAGAGAUAAGUGCUGAAAGCAUCUAAGCACGAAACUUGCCCCGAGAUGAGUUCUCCCUGACUCCUUGAGAGUCCUGAAGGAACGUUGAAGACGACGACGUUGAUAGGCCGGGUGUGUAAGCGCAGCGAUGCGUUGAGCUAACCGGUACUAAUGAACCGUGAGGCUUAACCU